This 409-nucleotide ribosomal RNA is filed under the name uncultured bacterium. Its description in RNAcentral is "bacterial SSU rRNA". It matches the Rfam family "Bacterial small subunit ribosomal RNA", at positions 29 to 482 of the family's 1533-position model. The record is from RNAcentral.
AACGAACGCUGGCGGCAUGCCUAACACAUGCAAGUCGAACGAAGUCUUCGGACUUAGUGGCGCACGGGUGCGUAACGCGUGGGAAUCUGCCCUUGGGUGCGGAAUAACUUCUCGAAAGGGAUGCUAAUACCGCAUAAUGUCGUAAGACCAAAGAUUUAUCGCCCAAGGAUGAGCCCGCGUAAGAUUAGCUAGUUGGUGGGGUAAAAGCCUAACCAAGGCGACGAUCUUUAGCUGGUCUGAGAGGAUGAUCAGCCACACUGGGACUGAGACACGGCCCAGACUCCUACGGGAGGCAACAGUGGGGAAUAUUGGACAAUGGGCGAAAGCCUGAUCCAGCAAUGCCGCGUGAGUGAUGAAGGCCCUAGGGUUGUAAAGCUCUUUUACCAGGGAUGAUAAUGACAGUACCUGG